GACGAACGCUGGCGGCGUGCUUAACACAUGCAAGUCGAACGGAAAGGCCCUGCUUUUGUGGGGUGCUCGAGUGGCGAACGGGUGAGUAACACGUGAGUAACCUGCCCUUGACUUUGGGAUAACUUCAGGAAACUGGGGCUAAUACCGGAUAGGAGCUCCUGCUGCAUGGUGGGGGUUGGAAAGUUUCGGCGGUUGGGGAUGGACUCGCGGCUUAUCAGCUUGUUGGUGGGGUAGUGGCUUACCAAGGCUUUGACGGGUAGCCGGCCUGAGAGGGUGACCGGCCACAUUGGGACUGAGAUACGGCCCAGACUCCUACGGGAGGCAGCAGUGGGGAAUAUUGCACAAUGGGCGGAAGCCUGAUGUAGCAACGCCGCGUGCGGGAUGACGGCCUUCGGGUUGUAAACCGCUUUCGACUGUGACGAAGCGUGAGUGACGGUAAUGGGUAAAGAAGCACCGGCUAACUACGUG
RNAcentral lists this ribosomal RNA (468 nucleotides) under uncultured bacterium. RNAcentral's name for it is "partial 16S ribosomal RNA". It matches the Rfam family "Bacterial small subunit ribosomal RNA", at positions 28 to 507 of the family's 1533-position model. The record is from RNAcentral.